AGAGUUUGAUCCUGGCUCAGGACGAACGCUGGCGGCGCGCCUAAUACAUGCAAGUCGAGCGAGAAGCGGGACUUCGGUCCCGUGGAAAGCGGCGAACGGGUGCGUAACACGUGAGCAACCUGCCCCGAAGACCGGGACAAGCCGGGGAAACCUGGUCUAAUACCGGAUGCCCUCACCGGAUCGCAUGGUGUGGUGAGGAAAUGGAUUCCGCUUCGGGAUGGGCUCGCGGUCUAUCAGCUUGUUGGUGGGGUAACGGCCUACCGAGGCGACGACGGAUAGCUGGUCUGAGAGGACGAUCAGCCACACUGGGACUGAGACACGGCCCAGACUCCUACGGGAGGCAGCAGUAGGGAAUCUUGCGCAAUGGGGGAAACCCUGACGCAGCGACGCCGCGUGCGGGAUGAAGGCCUUCGGGUUGUAAACCGCUUUCAGCAGGGACGAAAUUGACGGUACCUGCAGAAGAAGGCCCGGCCAACUACGUGCCAGCCGCCGCGGUAAUAC
Molecule: ribosomal RNA, 501 nt
Filed under: uncultured bacterium
Lineage: Bacteria
Description: bacterial SSU rRNA
Rfam family: Bacterial small subunit ribosomal RNA
Source: RNAcentral